UCAUAUGCUUGUCUCAAAGAUUAAGCCAUGCAUGUCUAAGUACAGACUUUCACAUAGUGAAACCGCAAAUGGCUCAUUAAAUCAGUUAUGAUUUCUUAGAUCGUACAAUCCUACUUGGAUAACUGUGGUAAUUCUAGAGCUAAUACAUGAAACUCCGCUCCGACCUUACGGGAAGAGCGCUUUUAUUAGAUCAAGAUCAAUCGGGGGCCUCCGGGCCACCGUCUAUUGGUGAUUCUGAAUAACUUUGGGCUGAUCGCAUGGCCACGAGCCGGCGACGUAUCUUUCAAGUGUCUGCCCUAUCAACUUUCGAUGGUACGUGAUAUGCCUACCAUGGUUGUAACGGGUAACGGAGAAUCAGGGUUCGAUUCCGGAGAGGGAGC
RNAcentral lists this ribosomal RNA (380 nucleotides) under Leptochiton hodgsoni. RNAcentral's name for it is "SSU rRNA". It matches the Rfam family "Eukaryotic small subunit ribosomal RNA", at positions 24 to 395 of the family's 1831-position model. Lineage: Eukaryota; Metazoa; Mollusca; Polyplacophora; Lepidopleurida; Lepidopleuridae. The record is from RNAcentral.